UGGGGAAUUUUGGACAAUGGGGGAAACCCUGAUCCAGCCAUCCCGCGUGUGCGAUGAAGGCCUUCGGGUUGUAAAGCACUUUUGGCUGGAAAGAAACGUCAUGGGUUAAUACCCCGUGAAACUGACGGUACCUGCAGAAUAAGCACCGGCUAACUACGUGCCAGCAGCCGCGGUAAUACGUAGGGUGCAAGCGUUAAUCGGAAUUACUGGGCGUAAUGCGUGCGCAGGCGGUUCGGAAAGAAAGAUGUGAAAUCCCAGAGCUCAACUUUGGAACUGCAUUUUUAACUACCGGGCUAGAGUGUGUCAGAGGGAGGUGGAAUUCCGCGUGUAGCAGUGAAAUGCGUAGAUAUGCGGAGGAACACCGAUGGCGAAGGCAGCCUCCUGGGAUAACACUGACGCUCAUGCACGAAAGCGUGGGGAGCAAACAGG
This 429-nucleotide ribosomal RNA is filed under the name Acidobacteriota bacterium. RNAcentral describes it as "Acidobacteria bacterium partial 16S ribosomal RNA". It matches the Rfam family "Bacterial small subunit ribosomal RNA", at positions 355 to 776 of the family's 1533-position model. The record is from RNAcentral. Lineage: Bacteria; Pseudomonadati; Acidobacteriota.